GGCCUGUGAUACAUCAAAAUGCACAACUCCCUUGGUUCCUCUUUGAACCCUGGCCAGUUUUGGGGGGGGAAACCAACAGGAGAAAGAGAAAACCUGAUGUUCUACUUGACUGUCGCAUAGAUUUGUUUAUUCAGUGGACUUUAGAGACCUCAACUACAAAGUGGAUGCACUGCUGUAGGGCUUCCCAAUUGCCAAGACAGGUUCUCCAAAUCCUCGCUGCAACUGGGGCACCACAACGACUGUGGAUCUGGAUGACGGGCACCAUUUUUGCAGCUGCUCCUGCAAAUAUCUCCCUACAGUGCAAUCCGAUUUUCCUUGUACAUAUCAAAUGAAGUGUAAAGUAGUGAAAGAUACAGAAAUGAGCAGAGUUCUGACACCCUGUGGGUAAGACACUGAAGUCAUUUUCAUUUGUCAAGUAGGUGAUGUAACAGCUAAAUGAAAACCUCUUAGCAAAACCUGAGACAUCCAGUUUCUUUAUAUACUCAAACCAGGCUCUGCUCCUUUGUGUUCAUUCCCUAUCUUUUCAAAAUGCUUACAGCUCUCAGUAAUGUCUAUUGGCAUAAAGUCUUAGGGUCAGCAUCAAAUCCCAUUAAAAUAAUCUGAAAGACUCCUUUUGAGUUCAGUGGGUUUUAAAUCAGACUCUUAUUAGACUCACCUUGUAGAGUAAUAAAUAUUCAUAGAUGGAUGAAAGAACAGAAAAUCUCUCCAGUAGUUUUGAGUCCAGCAAAAAGAUCAUUUCCUUGGUGAAGGAUAAUUCCCUUGUUGACCAAGAAAGUCUCAUGGGCCAGGAUGAAAGUCUGUGCUUUAGGGAUAUGCAGGAUAUAAUCGGGUAAAAAAGGUAAUAAAAAGAAUAUAACUAUAGAAGCACAUAACAGAAUUUAUAAUGAAAUACCUGCAAGAUAUUCAGGUGUCUUAUUUUUUUCUUUAAGCUAAAUGCAACUGGAAUUUUUGUGAAUGUUAACUGAUUGUUUCUAACAAAUCACUUUGCCACUAAAUAGCAUGUUGGCACAGCUUCAGUAAUCAAAUUAAAGCAAGGUAAUUUUUAAUUCUGCUUCUAGUGUCUCCCGCUAAACAAGCAACUCCUCUCCAUUUAUGUUAUGCAGCUGCCAAUGCUAUAAUCUUGUUCAGCCUCUUGUGGUAUAAUAAAGUCUUACUGACAGGACUGAAUUCAAUGUUUUCUGUUUUACAUAAUAAGAUUCAGACUGGUGAGUUUGAGUGGAGGCCUGGCUGGAAAACCUCAGUGUGCUUUCUCAAUAUAUGGACUAUUUUUUAUGCAGAGUGAGUUAGAGAAGCAAAGACAGAGGAUUUGAGAGAAGUGGAAAUUAAGACAUCACCAGAUGCUAAGAAACUUGGACAUUCAGGUAGUGGAGACUUCACUUUUGGUACAAGUCAAAAGGAGUCUCAAGGUGCAGAAAUUGCACUACUAUCACAGUAGUUUCAUAUUAGUACUUAAAACACACUUUAUAAAAAGAUGAAGUGUUUCUGAAAUGCUGACUUGACAGAAUGGUGGCAAACUCUAAGGACAUCAUUUGUUCACACAGGGAAAAGGCAUUAUAUGAUGUUUUCUGCUGCAAUUACUCUGACUACAGUACCAUACUCUACAUACAGUACAGUGUAGUGAGCAGGACUAUGGAAGUAAUCCUGCUCCUGUACUCAGCACUGGUGAGGCCUCACCUCAAGUACUGCGUUCAGUUUUGGGCACCUCAGUACAAGAAGGACAUGAAGGUGCUGGAGCAGGUCCAAAGAAGGGCAACAAGGCUUGUGAAGGGCUUGAAAAAUAUGCCCUAUGAGGAGCGACUGACAGAACUGGGGCUGUUUAGUCUGGGGAAGAGGAGGCUGAGGGGAGACCUUAUUGCUCUCUUCAAAUACUUGAAAGGUGCUUGCACAGAGAGCAGGGCUGGUCUCUUCUCACUGGUGACAAGUGACAGGACGAGGGGAAAUGGCCUCAAGUUGUGCCAGGGGAGGUUUAGACUGGAUAUCAGAAGAAUUUCUUUACAGAAAGGGUUGUUAAGCACUGGAAUAGGCUCCCCAGGUUCCCAGGUGGUUGUGUCGCCAUCCCUGAAUGUGUUUGAAAUCCAUUUGGAUGUGGUGCUCGGGGACAUGAUUUAGCAGAGGGUUGUUAGUUAGGGUAGUAUGGUUAGGUUGCAGUUGGACUUGAUGAUCUUGAAGGUCUUUUCCAACCUAAGCAACUCUAUGAUUCUAUGAUUCUUUGAUUCUACCAUCCAAUGACAUGGAAAGAAAGAAUCAAUCCAAUAGACUUUAUAUAGACCUAAACCCACCUUGGUGGCUUAGCUGGUGGACAAGGUCUUUGUAUGCGUACUCAAAGAGCAAGAUAAGGUUAUCAACAAGGCUUCAGAAAUUGCUGAGGUUUCUUUUGGCAUAACCUUGUAUGUUAUAGUAGUAACAAAAUACUCAGUGCAUAGCCAUGCAUUUUGCAGUACUGGCCCAGGGUGUAGUUGUUUUUGUCACUUAGUGUCAUUCAUUUAAUGUAAAUACUAUACACUUAUGUAAGAAUAUGUUUUAAUUGUAUAGAAAAAGACGGGAAAUAUUAAGUUAUAACAUGCCUAAGGAGCUAAAAACUGUAAUGCACAUACAUUGCAGAAAUAAAAACUUUUUUUUCUUGUUAUUGUCCCAGAUAUUACCCCUUUGGUGGAAUCAACUAGACUAAUAAGUACAUUGUGUGUAAAUGCAGUAUUAAAAUAUGGUGUGACUAUUUAAAUGUACAGUCAUAGAGCGUCCAUACCAAUAGAAAGAAGAACUUAAAUCACACUAAUUAUCUCGAUAUCUGCUGGUCUUAGCAGAAAGAGAAAGCAGCAAAGGAGUGUGUACAAACUACUUUGUCAGCUAUAGGCAUUCACCCCUACAAGUAGACAUAAAGUGCAUAGGUAGAAUGAGAACAUGACACUUCUGUAGUUGCCUGCACCAUGGACUAGAUAACAGGUGCUCUCAAUCACUGCAUAUCUGUUCAGUGUCUUUCUAAGGACACUAUUUUCAAAACCCUGUCUGAAAAGAAAAGCCCAAAUUCCAGGAGUCUUUUUAACAGUAACCAGUGAUCUGAAGCAACACAUUUCACAGUUAUUCUUAGAGGUAACACUCUCUUUAUUCUUAUUUUUCAUUGAAAAAAUCAAGACAAAAAUGCUGAAAAGCAUUAAUAAACAUCCCACCAUAGUUUCUCAGACAGAUGUAAUCAGUAUGAUCUCAAUUUAUUAAAAAAAUACCAGUAGUAAAACGUCAUCUUUUAGGUAAAGCCCUCAGUUGUCCAGGCUUACAAACAAAUAUGGGUAAACACACUAAAUUGAGAGCUUAUUUAAUUAAGCUUAGUUUGACUUUCUCAUUUGGUAGGUUCAGGAUUCUAAAUUGAUGUAUUCUAUAGUUUGCUGUGAGACAUUUCAAUUUUAAGUAUUUCUGCCUGUCAGUGCUGAAGGUUAAUUAUAGUUUCCAUGAUGUCUUCUCAUGAUGAGUAAAAGUUAAACUGCAAUAAAAGAAUGGUACCAAUAAUUCUCUAAAGAAAAGGUCUUUAUGCAUUGAAGUAAGCAACUUUUUUUUGUUAUCUUAGAAGACAUUGUUGCUAUAAGACCAGCUGUGGCCUCUCCUGUUCCUGUGAAGUCAGAGAAUUGUAAUUGUUAUUAGGCCUCUGAGCACUUAAACCACAGUAUUUUACAGAAUUCUGUGCUCAUUGACAUAAGCAUUCUCAAACAUAGGAGAAAAAUUAUGAGAAACCAAGGGAAUGGACUAACAGUAUUUGUUAGAACAUUAUGUACAAAGCAGUACUGUUGCUCUGGACUUUUUUUCUGGUAUGAAAAACUUUGAUGCCAAUGCUUCACAUUCAUCACACAGUCACUGAUCAAUAGAUUAUGAGUAGUCAGAACCCAGCUUUCCACACUGCUUGAUUUUCAGCUGAAGUAAACCCUCAGUCAGGCCGAAUCUCUUCCAUUACUUUUUCAGCUGUGAUGAAAUGUCAGCUGCAUUUAGCUUUGUCUCAGAGAACAUUACCUCCUCAAAAUGUGGAAAACCACCAUGAGGCAUUACCACAAUACGGACAGAACACCUGAGGCUGCAAAGACAAAGUCUGCUUUUUAUCUCACAGUGGUAAAAUUCAUGUGACAAUAGUUCACAUUAUAAACCUUGAAGAAAACUAGAUUAAUUGAAUUUUUAUUAAGAACAGUGUGAAAGAAAAACAAAAAGGAAAUACCAAUAGGGGUACAAGACCUAGCUUGGCAAAAAGGAAGCUAUUACAGUUUAGUGGGCUCUGCAGAAUACUGAGGAUAUCUAGGGUGAGUCUAAAUGGAAUCAUAAAGACAUGAAAAAUAGGGAGAUUAUGUGCUAAAUUUACUGAUUUUGUAAGAAGUGUUUCUGAAAUCCAAGUGAAGUUAGAGAUAAGUAUCGUGAUUGAGCUUGACGUGUUUGUAUCAAUCAUUUUCACUGUUGGUAGUUCCUGAAAAAUUAGUCCAACUGGGGAGUUUACAUGUUCUGAUCCCAAAUUAUUUCAUAAUAUUAAAUAUGUCUUUGCAGGUGUGUUUAUUUUCCUAUUCCUUAAAGGACAACUAAACUAUGGCAAUUUAUCCUGGAAAGAAAUGUAGGAUUUAAUUUUUUUAAUUUCCCCGUUUUACCACCCCCAUAAAACAAUUAAAAGCUUUCUGUUCUUGAGGAAUUCUGAGCAGAAGCCAAGCAUUCAGAAUAUUCCAUCUUUACUUAGAGUUCUUGUGGCGUUCCGUAGCUAUUUAAGUUAUUGUACUUCUGAAGCUGAACAUUAAAUAUGUCUUGCAUGGAAAUAAAUGUGUAUAAAACCUACAAAUACCAUAAACACUUUCAGAAAAUAAUCUAUAAAUUUCACUGUAUUAGUUUUUAUGCACAAAUUACUGAGAAAGCUAUUUUUCUAGAUAGGCCUGAGUCUCUAUCCAUGACAUUCAAGGUCAUCUUUUAUUUUUCUCUGGCAUUUGUACAAAUGCUGAAACAGAAAUUCAUUUAAAAUUACUUCAUACCAUGAAUUAAUAGAAUGGUAAGGUGGUGUUGGUAGAGAUUUAGGCAGUGUGAUUUGGUGCUUAAUCUUCUGUGGCCAUAUUGCUGAGUUUUAAAACCAUUCUGGAACCAGCUCUGAGACCACACAUCUAAGCCUAAAAUAUUUUCUUCUUGUUCUUGUUCUAGAGUAGGAUGUAUGUUGCUCCUAUACCUGAAGAUCAGAAAUUUAUUGCUGCCUUUGGAGAUGACUCUUCAACAAGAGACAUAUCUUGUCAAGUUGUGAACACCAAACAGGUGUGUACUGCAUACUGUGCUCUCAGAAGGUCUUCUGAUAAAGCUGGAGGAAGGCAAAGUAAUGAAAUUUAUCACCUCUUCCUGACAAACUUGAUCACAUCUGGCUAUGGAAACUUGAGCAAUUACAGGAGCUGAAACAGGAGCUUAUCAAAAUUUGAUCCAGGACUGCUUAAAAGGUGAUAAUGAAAGAAAAGUUUUAUCUCUCUUCAUUUCUUUCUUUCACCCUCAACUCCCAAAAAUGUAUUUUCCUUAAAGCACAGAGAAAUUGUACUUGCACAUAACCAGUUUAAUUUUAGUUACAGUUAAUUGUGAGAAUUUGCUUGGAGCUUCAGCUAGCCAUGCACUUCCCUGCCUCCUGCAGUCCAGAAAUCCAUCUUUUACUAUUGCAGAUGACCUGCAGUCUCUGCAGGAGAAAUCAAGUAUCUGCACAGAAGUCACAAGAAAUUCCACACAACCACACACACACACACACUCACACACAAAAUAAGAAAAAGCCUGUAGAGUUUGAGCAUCCGUAAAUUUUAAGGUUUACAAUUAUUUGAGCUCUUGUUUUUUUACAGUCUUAACCAUGCGCAUAAUUUGUAACUGUGAGAACCUCAGAAGUGAGCAUUUCUGUUGGACUGCAUAUAAAUAGGCAAGGUAACAUUUUCUAUGAGCUGGUUCCAAGUUGAAUGCAGGCAUGUUGUAGAGGUUAAUGGCUAAUAUUAAACUCCUGUUGUUAUCAGCAGUUUGACUCCACAGUUCAUUACUGCUGCCUUAGUCUGUUACUGAUGCUUCUAUUCUUUCCUGUGUGUUUAUGAGUUAGUGAAAGAGCCCUGCAAAGGGCUGCAAAGAUUUCAGGCAUAUUGCGCAAAAGCAUUAUGCUACUUGUGAGGAAGUAAUAAAAUUCUGUUUAUCCAAAAAGCACUUUUAUUGUACUGAUUUUCAUUCUUAUUCUUGUUAAAAAUAAAUAUUUUUUUUUAAUUGUCUUUUUUUUUCUGGCUUGAUAAGAGAAGGAAAAUCCCCUUAAAGAUAAUUAGAUGGGGAAAAUACAAACUGAUACAGUCCCUCCCCCCGUACUGAACCCCAGUUAGAAAAAAAGAAUUGAAUAAACAGUGAAAUGUUUUGCUUUUUUCUCAGCCAAAAUUAAAUAUUCCCUUUCAGUAUCAAUAUGACAAGUGAAGAAAAUAAGGGGCUGUGUUCACAAAACUGCUGCAGGUGAUAGUAUUCAUGGCUGAGUAACAGAGAGGUUAGGCAUCCGUCAGGAUGGAAAGAGCACCAUUCAGUUUAUUCCUUUCCCUGAGGAAAUUUGAACCAACCAUUUCUUAAUUUCUAGGGACUCACUAAGCCAUAAUCACUAAAUGAUAAGCUAAUUCAGUGUUUUCUCUUGACGCUUUUACAAGUAAAUUAUAUUUCAGAACAGAUGUUAUACCCAGGUGCUGCACUUUCCCAAGAAGGCACUAUUAACACUUAAAAAAUUAUGUAGAAAUUGGAACAGCUCGUGGGUAAGAUAAAAAAGGACAUGAAUUCAGAUUACCUUGUACCCAGUACAUCAACAUGCCCUGCUCUGCCCUUCUGCCAGAAAAGAAACUAAAAACAUAAAAAUGCCACUCUUCACUGAUGCUAAGUUACUAACUCAGGUGAUGAUAGGGCUUCAGUCCCUCUCCUAGUGAGCUUUAAGGAAAGACAAUAGCAUUGGCCUCAAGUUGCGCCAGGGGAAGUUUAGGUUGAGUAUCAGGAAGAAGUUCUUUACAGAAAGGGUUGUUUAGCACUGGAAUAGGCUCCCCAGGGAGGUGGUUGAGCCGCCAUCCCUGAAUGUGUUUAAAAACCAUUUGGAUGUGGUGCUCAGGGACAUGAUUUAGCUGAGUGUUGUUAGGGUAGUAUGGUUAGGUUGCAGUUGGACUUGAUGAUCUUGAAGGUCUUUUCCAACCUGAGCAAUUCUGUGAUUCUAUGAUUGCUUUCUGAGAAGAGAUGUAGAGAAGCCCAUGUGUACUACUGGAGGAUACAGUGGUUUCAGUAACUUCAUAUACAGGAGAACUGCUACCAGUGCUACUUGUAAAUGGUUGUCUGACUUCAGAGUGCCCAUGACCACAUACACAUGCAAAUAAAAUUCUGUUGUCACCUCAGGAAACAGAUAAUUUCCAGAUGGAAUUAAAUAAAGUUUUCAUAAUCUUUAAUAAGUAAAAUAAUUUACUAUAUUUAGGAUAGUAUUUUAUGACUAGAAAUUUCACAUUCAUUGUUUAUGCCUUGAAUAUUACUGUUAUGGACAUCAUUUAUCAACUAUAGAAUUACUUUCAUCUGGAGAUUCAGGAAUGCUUUUAAAGCAGCUCUGCAGCUGCUACAGCACCUGUGUGAGGUAGUAAGUCCUCGCCUCACAGGAUUACAGUGCUUAGAUGAACCCAUCAGGGUCUCCAGAUCACUUGGGAUAGCUUUGCACAGCAGCCUGGUGUUGCCAAAGAAAAGAUAGUUCUACAUAAAGCAAAAAAGAUAUGUAGGGAGGAAGAAGAAAAAUUACUACAUUUUAACAUGGUAGCCGAAUGGAGAGGGGAAAAUUCUGUGAUUAAUCCCCUUUGCUGUAAGGUUAUAUUAUGAGGACUUAAAUUACAUGAUCCCUGUACUUUAAUAACAAUAUUCCCUAUAGCGUCUUUGAAAAGGAAUCAUUAGUAUUUUUAUUUCUCCAGAUCUCAUACUGUGAUAUGGGUUCAACAUCGUCUCCAAGGGAAAAUCUUCAUAUGUGUACUUACAGACUGUGUUUCUUCACCAUCUUGAACCAUUCUGGUGUUGCUCCACCUGAGCAGGAGCCAGGUUUCUCCUCUCCUAUUUCUGAGUCAUGCCAACUCCACUAGCCUAUGAUUGAGUUACUUUUUUUCCACUUCACAUGCCAGAAGCAAUUCAGCAUUUGUCCACCUGGCAUCACAUCAAAAUUUCUGUUCCUGGCAGGCAGUCAAGUCAUGCUAGUUCAGCUUUUCCACUUGCUCAUUUGGCACCACUUUUUAAUAGAGAGGAAGAGUGCUCUUCUGCCCUGUCCUGCAGGCAGUGACCGCUGUGUGCAUAUGUUUUUCACAGUAGAUUGUGUCUCCAAAGCAUCAGGUUCUGUAGCAAUUCCUCAUCAACACACAAACAAGAUUUAUUAACGAUUUAGAGUAAGCACAUCCCAACCCUUUACAGCCUUACAUAAACACUCCCUGUCUAUAAGCUGCCUCUACUUUAACACAACCCUAGUGAAGACUGAGCCUGAACCUGUCCAAUAAGCAGAGGCCCUCAAAUAGUUCUGAAAGCUUGAGGAGAUAUUUCAAUCCAUAAUAUUGAUAAAGACAAAUGUGAAGCAAAUUCUGAUUGAUUAAAUCACUUCAGUUAAAUUCAUUUAAAACAGUAAAUAUUUUCCUUCUGGAAGAAUUAGCAAUCAGAGAACUGGAACAUAUUGGCUUGUCUGUUUCCUCUAAAAACAAAAAUCAGUCCAGGCAUAUUUAAGGAGUGUGAGUUCCAGAGCUUUAUAAGGCAUUGUACAUCUCAGAUGAUAAGCUAAUCAAUAUCAUAAGUUAAUCCGAUCAUAUAUUAAUCACUAUUGUCUUACACCUAUUGUGCAUUCAGCACUUGCAAACUCCAGUGUUCAUCAUACUUAAAAGAGUGUAUUUCUUGCACAACUUCUGUUAUGCACUGUGAUCCUUGUGCUUUUUCUGUAGACUAUGAUUCUUGUCUUCUUAUUACCUGAAACUGGUGAAUAGCUUAUAUAUUUUCUGUAGAAAUUCAUUCUCUGACAUUAGUUAGGAUUUUACUUUGUUUUGCUGGGAAUGGGAGGAGGAGACUGUUGAUGGAUGUAAUUAUUUUGAUGGAGUGGUUAACAAUACACAAAGGAAUGGAGUCAAGUUUCAUCUGCUGCCUACUGAAACAGAAAUUACAAUGAAGUGUUAACAUCCACUGCUAUUAAUUUGUGUAUUUAAUCAAUCGCCCUUAAUUGGCAGGAGUUAUACACACAUAUAUGCACAUAAACAUGCACAAAGACACACACACAGAUAUGAUAGCAAUUCCAAACAGCAUAUAAAACAGGACACCAUUUUGCAUGACCACCUUUAUUCUCAGGUUUUAUUUUACUAGUAAGGAAUAACUUUAAUAUUUUUAUUUCUAAGUCAUUUUUUAAGUGUAAGGAAGGAAGUACUAGUGUUACUGGAAAACACAAAUACUCUAAACCCUACUUAAGCCACAAGUGACAUUAUACAAUAGACUGAGCUCUGCACAAGCCUACCCUAAACCCUAAAAAAAUACUUACAGACGUUUCAAGCUCAGUGUAUAUUAUUCUCAUUACACAGAGAAGAAAGAAAGGAAGAUUUUCCACCAUCAAGGAGAGUGAACAGAGUAUAAAUGCAUAAUUCAAGGAGAAAUGCAAAUCUUGCACAUUUGUAAGUCCAUCUAAAAGAAACAAAAGUUUUGAAUGCAUUGAAUAAAGCAAUAAAAUGGCCAGUAGCUACAAAAUGAGAUGGGGAUGAGUACAUAACACUGCACUCAUUUUACACAUUGACUUUCAGUGUGAAAUGUAGCAAACAAGGCUGAAAUACACUGUCUACUGUUAUGAUAUGAAGCAAGUCACCCUGGACACAUCUAGACUGUGAGACUGAGAACUAAAUAAUCUGUACUUUUGUUCUAUUUGUUUAACAGAAUAUCUACUUUUUUGUCCUAGGUAAACGUGGAAAUGCAUAUUAAAAAAUACGAUACAAAAGCUCUUUUUAUUAGCACUUAAAGCCUGCAAGAAUUUUAAGUGUUAAAAUUCUCAAAGAUAAAUGUGACCUUUUUUCAGGUUUAUGUAAUUAUUUUUUACCAAUCAAUGUAUUUUGUGUCUCUAAACUGAAUCUCUAUAGUACAUUCUUUAGAGAUUUCUAUUUGAAUAGAGGUCCGAUGUUUCAUGUUGUACAGCAUGUGCAUGGUACUUUUAUACAUUUUCUUUUACUUCGAGCCAGCAGUGUUGGAUCUGAGAUCUAAGGUAACCAGUCUGGAAGGAAUACUUUGGCACAAGUGCCAGUCUCAUCUGGUUUUGAAACUGCACAGCUGAUGUAGUUCUCCCACCUACAACAGAGAGUACCUCUUGCUUUCUUAGCCCACUCUAUAUUUGAUGUAUGUACUUUUCCUUAACCGACCAGCUCCUAUUUCCUUCCUUUCUUUUCUUCCUUUGAUUCUGUCAUUCCCACCUAAUUUAUCCAGUCAUUUGAAAAAAAGUCAGAGUUUGGAAAUGAAGCUAGGACAAAGGUUGUCUACUUCACAGUUAAGAUAAAGUCUUAUUCAUUUUACUGUUUCAAGUUAAUCUGUCAAAAUAUAUAUUCACC
Molecule: long non-coding RNA, 10547 nt
Filed under: Gallus gallus (chicken)
Lineage: Eukaryota; Metazoa; Chordata; Aves; Galliformes; Phasianidae
Description: lncRNA (ENSGALG00010003536.1)
Source: RNAcentral